Molecule: ribosomal RNA, 515 nt
Filed under: Echinoteuthis atlantica
Lineage: Eukaryota; Metazoa; Mollusca; Cephalopoda; Oegopsida; Mastigoteuthidae
Description: partial 16S ribosomal RNA
Rfam family: Bacterial large subunit ribosomal RNA
Source: RNAcentral
GUCUCUUUGUUACUUAUAGAUAGAGAGUCGGGCCUGCUCGGUGAAUAAUUGUUUUAACAGCUGCGGUAUUUUAACUGUACUAAGGUAGCAUAAUAAUUUGCCUUAUAAUUUGAGGCUAGAAUGAAUGGUUUGACGAAGGUUGAUCUGUCUCUAUCCUAUUAUUUAGAAAUUAAUUUUUAGAGUGAAAAAGCUUGUAUUUUUUAAAGGGACGAGAAGACCCUAUUGAGCUUAUAAUUUUAUCACUGUUAUUAUUGUAAUGAUUAUAGUGGUGUAUAAAUUUUAAUUGGGGUGAUUAAGGAAUAAAUAAUAAAUAAAGUAACUUCCUUAAAAUUAAAUAUUGUUGGGUGAAGUAACCAAUAUUAUUGCUUAUAUUAUAGUUACCAUAGGGAUAACAGCGUAAUUUAUUUAGAGAGUUCUUAUUGAAAAAUGAGAUUGCGACCUCGAUGUUGGAUUAAAGUAACCUUAAGGUGCAGAAGCUUUAAUAGGUAAAUCUGUUCGAUUUUUAAAACUUUACA